Cyprinus carpio carpio is the source of this 3102-nucleotide long non-coding RNA. The record is from Ensembl. Lineage: Eukaryota; Metazoa; Chordata; Actinopteri; Cypriniformes; Cyprinidae.
AUACAGAAGACGUAUGAUGACAGUGAUGACCAUGGGCCAAGUGGAAAUAAAGCUAGUGCUGCUAGUGCAACCCAGCAGCAGGCCAUCUCUACAGCUUUCCUAUGUUCUUCAAAGUAUAAAAACGAAUCGAAGGAACAACAGACCAAGGAGCAGGCCAUAGCUAGAUGGAUUGGACGCACAGGUUUACCACUCACAACAAUUGAAGAUGAGGACUUUGUGCUAAUGAUGGAGAUAGUGGAUAGGAGACUAACAGUUCCAAAGAAAACUAAAAUGAGCAAUUUGAUUGAAACACAGUAUGAACAUGAAAUACUAAAAUUCAAAGAGAGACUGGCUGCUGCCCGGAGAGUAUCCAUUGGCCUUGACUUGUGGACAAAAAAAGGACUGACAGCCUCAUUCCUCGCUAUAAGUGCAUGCUACUUUUGUGUUGAACUAAGUAAACCUGUACAUAUAUUGUUGGCCCUUGAACAAGUAGCUCACCCACACACUGCACAGUCUAUUAAGGCAUGUGUGGACAAAUGUAUGCAAGAGUGGGCCAUACCAAAGCAGAAGAUCCUGACGGUAAUAACGGACAAUGGGAGUAACAUGGUGGCAGCCUUUAAAAACACCACAGCCGAAGAAACCAGCUCUGAGGACGACUCCCCUGGGUCCACGAUGGAAAGUGACUCUGAAAUUGAUGACCAGCGGUACCAUCAUGUCGAUAUGGAAAUGGACCGGACACCGUGUGUGGUGCAUACCAUAAAACUAGUGGUCCACAUGUUGCAGAAAGAGACAACUGUCAAAAGAGUCCUCGAUAAAGCAAGGUCUGUGGUGAAGCUCUUUCGCAAGUCCUCAGUUGCAACACAAAGGUUAUUGGACCAGUGUGGGGUUAUUGUUGUAAAUGACUGCCCCACGCGCUGGUCAAGCACAUUUAACAUGGUCACACGACUCCUCACAGUCAAAGAUGCAGUCUGUCAAAUCUCAAAUGACAUGGGAUGGGACAAUUUGCUUACUAGUGAGUGGCAAAAGCUUUCAUCAUUGCAUGACUUACUGCUGCCUUUUGCUGAACACACUAAAACCCUCCAGAGUGACACCACAUCAAUGUCCCUAGUGGUUCCUGCCCUUUUUGAUCUGCUGAGCCACCUAACUGACUUUGCAAAGAACACUCGGUACAGAGACCUCGUCACUCUUGCAGAGAAAAUGAGAUCAAAUCUGAACCAGCGUUUUUCUUGCCUCUUAGAUUCAACCGAUGAAAAGUUCUCAGCACUUGCAGCAGCUGCCUGCUUUGUUAACCCAACUGUCUGUGAAAUCCUUGUUAAUGUUGAUGUGGCUGAUGGAAAUAUCCAGGAACUGCUGAAACAGGCAGAAGAAUAUGUGGUCAAAUGCACUUUCCCACACACAAGACAGGAGGACCAGUCUGAAGAUGAUGCAGAAGAAGAGGUUAUUGAGGAACCAGAAGCAGCGCCAUCCUCAAAGCAGCCGGUGUUUAGGUUCCUCUCAAAAUGCCGCACCUCAAGGCCUAAACAGAAAACCUCCACAACUAGCAUCAGACAGCAGAUCAUCAAGUACGAGGAAGAACUUUCACAUCCCAUCACUGAGGACACAGGGACAGACUUCUGGCUGGCAAAGAGUGACAGUUUUUAUCACAAUUUAAAACCUUUUGCGUUAGACUUGUUGGCUAUGCCAGCUUCUCAAGCUUUUGCGGAGAGGGUAUUCAGCAUCACAGGUGACCUCACAAGAGGACGGCGCAACAGGGGAAGGGUCACAUUGGAGCGAAGUGCUUUACUUAAAAUGAACAGAGACAAAUAGAACUGUUGUAUUUACUGCUAUUUACAGCAUUUCCUGUAGUAGUAUAUGCACAACUUGAAAGUUACUGAUCUUGUAUUUUUGUUUUUUGUUUAAUAUGAGAGCAGAGGUUUUUUUUUGUUCCAUGCAAUAAUGGCAUUACAGCUUAGCAUGUAAUUCACUUGUCUUGAGUUGAGCUCAUUGAUAUUAGCUCAUUGAUACUACUUUUAAUUAUUAACAGAAGAAUUAACAGAAGAAUAUUUUGUGCAAUGACAUUACAACCAAUGCAUAUUUUCUUUUACAUACGUUUUGUUUUUCUUUUCAAAUCUCUUUGAUUUUGCACACAAUGCACAGAGUAAUAGAUGAUGAAGAAGAUGAUGAUGCUUACAGAGUUGUGUGCUUUUUAGUUUAAUUUGAUAUUUACCUGUAUUUUCAAUGCUGAGAGAGCAGGGGUUUUUUUUAUUUACUUGAACAUUAAGGAGUGUUUCUUUGGUAGUGUGUGUGUAAUGGCAUUACAGCCAAUACAUCUUUCAUUCUACAUUUGAGAAUUGCACUAAUCUGUUCUGUUCAAAUCUUGUUGAUUUUGCACAGAGUAGCAAGGCAUUCUAAGACAUUGUAGCCUAGCAGUUAUUUAACUUCUCUUGAGGUAUGUGAACAGUAACAGUAGUGAACUUUCUGUAUUUAGAAACCUUGUGCAAUGGCAUUACUUUUUAUUGUUUUUGAGAAUUGCACUUUAUUUUUCUUAAUGUUUUUGAUUUUGCACAGACAGUAGAAGACAGUAAGUUUAGAGUUAGGUGGUUGUCUAUUUCAAUAAUACUGUACUUCAUCUUGAAAGAAUGUCAUAUGCAUUGCAUAUCAUUCAGGGAGAAUGCAUAUCUUUUUCAGAGAGCAUGUAUAUUUUUCAUGGAGAGCAGGCCUUAUGUUUAUUUUAUGUGAGAUUAUCUUUUGUGAAAAAAGUUACGGUCAGUGUUUUUGACAUUAAGAAUAAAAUAAAAUACAUGUUUUGUAUUACAGCCAUUAAAUCUGUGUAUGUAUUGCAUAUUCAAACCUUAAUACCAUUCCAUAACAGACUGAUGGAAACAUUUAGUCAAGUCAACUAAGUCGACUUUGUUCUACUAAAAAAAAACUAGACUAAGACUAAAAGACUUAAGACUAGACUAAGACUAAAACUCUUAUGAUAUUUAGUCGACUAAAACUAAACUAAGACUAAAAGAUUUCAGAUGACCAAAAUGUGACUAAAACUAAAUGGUGUGUUAUUCAAAAGACUAAGACUAAGAGUAAAUCCGAAUUUGCUGUCAAAAUUAACACUGGAAUGGAAGACCGCAUUUAAUACCCCCAGAG